UGACGUGGAUGGAGAGACUGUUGACAUUGGACUGACUGAGUCAAUGAUUUCAUUCCUUUUUGAGGGAUCGUUUAAAAAACAAGCAAAAUUUCAUCGAUUUAUUCAGCUGAUGAAGGAGACAGUGACAUUAACUCUUGAACCUGUGCCUGUAGAAUCCCAGUCAUCAGCUGGAGCAAGUAAUUUCAGCCUGUCAACAGCUUUUCCUGCAGUUUUUGAAGUUCCGAAGUUUCCAUUUGACGUUCAGGCCAAGUUGGACCGAAAAGAAUGCCGUCAUCAUCAGAGCGAAACAAAAUUAUUAGAACAUUGUAUGAAAGCAUGGCUCAGUACAAAAUGUAUCCAACUAAUGAAGAGUAUGUUCAAGUGGCUAAAGCCCUGACUCUGAGGUAUCCCUUUUUGAAAGACAAAAUUUGUAAUAAUUGCCCAGUGGACAAUUUCCUGUACACCUAUUACCUUUUUGUUUUUUUUUAACAUUUUUAUUUAUUUUUUAUUAUAUAUAUAUUUUGUUAAUGACUGCUUUUAUACUUGU
Molecule: long non-coding RNA, 526 nt
Organism: Clarias gariepinus (North African catfish)
Lineage: Eukaryota; Metazoa; Chordata; Actinopteri; Siluriformes; Clariidae
Exons: 3
Source: RefSeq, a predicted model, not a curated record